This is an RNA transcript of Pan troglodytes (chimpanzee), 1503 nucleotides long. It is a transcript of the gene named membrane spanning 4-domains A13, with no coding region annotated. The record is from RefSeq and is a predicted model, not a curated record. The transcript is spliced from 9 exons. Lineage: Eukaryota; Metazoa; Chordata; Mammalia; Primates; Hominidae.
AGUUCUUGAGUGGGUGCGCAGGCGCAAGAGGAGCACACCGUUGCCAUUGCAGACCGUCACUCCCUGAGGAGUCUGAGGGCCGGCUGGGUGCUGGGCUCCUGGCUAUCCCUGUGAUGGUAGCUCAGCGAGAUCUGGGGACCUGGCGCUGAGCGCGUUGCCAGCCGGGAUCUUACUCUUCAUCUAGGCCUGGGCGCUGGCGUGAGAACUCGGACUGGGUCCUGGACGAGCGCACCCCGAAACUCCUUGGAACCUUGAACAAGUAAAAUGCAGGAAGUUUGCUAAUAAAGACAUCACCAAAGGUUAAAGAGAAAAUCAUCUAGAGGAAAUGCUGGCAGUAUGGCAUGUGUUCUUUUACAAAUCUCUACAGCAGAUUCUCUCGUUUUAGGGACUAUCCAGAUUAUGAUUGGCAUCUUUCACGUUUUCAUGUGGUACUUUCUAUUGGUUUUGUAUACGGGACAAAUUAAAGGAGCCUUUGGAACGUAUGAACCUGUAACUUACAAAACAGGAUGUACUUUAUGGGGAAUUUCUUUUAUCAUUGCAGGAGUCUUCCUAAUAAGAGUAACAAAGUAUCCGACUCGAUCUGGAAUUAUAAGUACUUUAAUCAUAAACAUCAUCUGCAUAAUUACUACAAUUACUGCAGUAACUCUAACAAUAAUAGAGUUGUCUCAUUUUAAUUCUGUGUCAUACAGGAAUUAUGGACAAGCGAAACUUGGGAGGGAAGUAUCACGUAUUUUACUGUUCUUCUACGCUUUGGAAUUUUCUAUUGCACUUACACACUCAAUAUACAGCUGUUCCAAUUUGUUUCGAAGACAAAAUGAUCUUACAUCUGUUACUGAGGAAGCUGACAGCACUCCUUAAAAACCCUAGAAAUGUGAGAAUUUUGCUGUUGCUGAUGCCUGGUGAGGGUCCUAAUGAUAUCUCUGUAUAACAAAGCAGUUACGAAGCCUACAGACUUUGUGCAAAAUAAAAUACAAACAAGAUUGUCUACUGUAUGCCAAUGAAUAAUAUAUUAAGCUCUGGAGUAUCAACAAUUAAUAAGGUACCACUCAGCAGACAUCAGUGCCAAUGCCAUUUGGGCUUGCAAGUAGGAUCCAGUGUCAAGAGAACUUCCAUCACUACAACAUCAGGAUCAAGAAGACCUUAGCAGCUACUACCACCAUAAACCCCAACAACUCACACUACUGCAACAAACAUCCCCACUGUUGCAUGCUGAGGAUCCAUGUAAUCUUUGUCAGUACCAAACCCAGCUGACAGAGCUGCAAAGAGACUGCACAGCUGUGCACUCAGUGAUGCCAGAACUGCUGCUGCAUCCCACCUAGCAAACACUCUUGCACCUCCUUUUUACCCAUAGGAAAAGGUGUUUAUACAACAAAAACUAGUCUGUAAAUUCUAGUAUAGGUGACUGCUCUACAAAUGCACAGAAAUCAACAUAAGGCAGUAAAGAACAUGAACAACUAAGUAGACAUACUACCAAAAUAACACAGUCUCCCAGUAGCUGACCCC